Molecule: long non-coding RNA, 442 nt
Filed under: Manihot esculenta (cassava)
Lineage: Eukaryota; Viridiplantae; Streptophyta; Magnoliopsida; Malpighiales; Euphorbiaceae
Description: long non-coding RNA (MESC_LNC011880)
Source: RNAcentral
GGGAUAUGAAAUGAUAAGCUCCAGUUUUACUACAAGAAUGUAACAUUUGUUAUUCAAGAGAGUUGGUAAACUCCAACAAGGUGUUCAUAAGGAAAGUACAUAAAGGAACUUUUCAGCAUCUAUGGAUGACACAAGAGGACAUGGCACUUGAUUUUAAUAGAGUAAGAGGAUUGUGACAACAAUUCAAGAGAUAUGACUGAGCUUAAAACCUUCCUGAAGAAGGUCGAAACCUGGAGGAUUAUGGUGUAGAGUAAAUGUAACAGCCCGGCCCGUACGCACGGCACUGUUACCACUCACGGCCCAGGGCUAUCCCUCGCCUGGCCUCUUGCCACCUCGGGCUUUCCACUGGCGUCGUGAGCAGCUCUUAACAUCCCUUCACCCUCACGGGUUCCAGGCAGGAUUUGUCCCUCGGGGGAGCCAUUACGGCCCGCCCUAGCCNNNN